Molecule: long non-coding RNA, 667 nt
Filed under: Marmota monax (woodchuck)
Lineage: Eukaryota; Metazoa; Chordata; Mammalia; Rodentia; Sciuridae
Source: RNAcentral
GAUAUUUGCUAAGCCCCAAAUCCUUAUUUCCAUGAUUCUUGUUUUUAUUGCUUUAUUUCUUCCAAGCCUUGAUGGAAGUAUGGUUUCAUUUGUUCGUCAGUGCAAAAAUAAGCUGUUUAGAGCAUCUACAUCUCCCCAACAUAUCGGGUGAUUCCUUUGUGUCAAAUUUCAAUAGCAGAAGUUCACUUUGUUUAUUACUUUUGUUCAUGUGCUGUGCAUACAAAUAACUGGCACUAAUAAGAGGUUGUACUCAAUUCAGGUAUAAAAUUUGUUCAAGUAUUGAACAAAAGUGUUAGUUUAGGAGUAUAUUAUAACUUCUGUGAAUAUUUAAAAUGAUGUCCUAUUGGUGCUGUCUAAUUUAGGCAUUCAUAUUAUUGUUCUUUUAAUGCAAUGCUUGGCUUGAUAAUUUUUUUCCUUAUGACAGCAACAGAUAGCACUACUCUUUGGUAGUAUUAGAAAACCUGAAGGUGACAAAGAACACUUGAAAGAAAAUGAUUCUCACUUUCUAUGCAUUCACAGGCAUAGAAAAAAAAAAGGAAUUUCCAUGUUAAGUUUACUGAUUCCAAAGUGUCUUUUUAGCAACACUCAGAAUGCCGGAGAGUAAGCUAUGUCCUGAGUCCUUGACUUUGCUUCUGUUAAAUACUUGCUUGAAAUCUGUGAGGUGCUG